RNAcentral lists this ribosomal RNA (324 nucleotides) under uncultured eukaryote. Its description in RNAcentral is "partial 18S ribosomal RNA". It matches the Rfam family "Eukaryotic small subunit ribosomal RNA", at positions 1470 to 1796 of the family's 1831-position model. The record is from RNAcentral.
CCCUUAGGUGUCCUGGGCUGCACGCGCGCUACACUGAUGUGUCCAGUAAGCACCUAACCUCUUCCGAAAGGAACGGGUAACCUUUGCAAAGCACAUCGUGAUGGGGAUAGAUUAUUGCAAUUAUUAGUCUUGAACGAGGAAUUCCUAGUAAGCACAAGUCAUCAGCUUGUGUUGAUUACGUCCCUGCCCUUUGUACACACCGCCCGUCGCUCCUACCGAUUGAAUGUUCCGGUGAGCUCUUCGGACUGCGCGGUCUGCAGUUUCUGCGUUCCGUGCGGAAAGUUGCGCAAACCUUAACAUUUAGAGGAAGGAGAAGUCGUAACA